RNAcentral lists this ribosomal RNA (874 nucleotides) under uncultured Planctomycetia bacterium. RNAcentral's name for it is "bacterial SSU rRNA". It matches the Rfam family "Bacterial small subunit ribosomal RNA", at positions 58 to 936 of the family's 1533-position model. The record is from RNAcentral. Lineage: Bacteria; Pseudomonadati; Planctomycetota; Planctomycetia.
CAAGUCGAACGAAUCCCAUGGGGGUAACUCUGUGGGGGAAGUAGCGAAAGGGGCAGUAAGGCAUGGGUAACCUACCCCGGGGAUCGGGAUAGCCAUUCUAACGAGUGGGUAAUACCGGGCGAUGCGACGAAGGGGCAUCUCUUUGUCGUGAAAUGAAUUUCGCCUCGGGAGGGGCUCAUGUAGUAUUAGCUUGUUGGUGAGGUAACGGCUCACCAAGGCCAAGAUGCUUAGCGGGUGUGAGAGCACGACCCGCGCCACUGGCACUGAGACACUGGCCAGACUCCUACGGGAGGCUGCAGUCGAGGAUCUUCGGCAAUGGGCGCAAGCCUGACCGAGCGACGCCGCGUGUGCGAUGAAGGCCUUCGGGUUGUAAAGCACUGUCGAGGGGGAGGAAAGCCCGCAAGGGUCUGACCUAUCCCUGGAGGAAGCACGGGCUAAGUUCGUGCCAGCAGCCGCGGUAAGACGAACCGUGCGAACGUUGUUCGGAUUCACUGGGCUUAAAGGGCGCGUAGGCGGGCGGUCAAGUCGGGGGUGAAAUCUUUCAGCUUAACUGGAAAAGUGCCUCCGAUACUGAUCGCCUCGAGGGAGGUAGGGGCAUGUGGAACUUCCGGUGGAGCGGUGAAAUGCGUAGAUAUCGGAAGGAACGCCGGUGGCGAAAGCGACGUGCUGGACCUCUUCUGACGCUGAGGCGCGAAAGCUAGGGGAGCAAACGGGAUUAGAUACCCCGGUAGUCCUAGCCCUAAACGAUGGGUACUAGAUUGUGGACUUAACAUGGGUUCACAGUCGAAGCUAAAGUGUUAAGUACCCCGCCUGGGGAGUAUGGUCGCAAGGCUGAAACUCAAAGGAAUUGACGGGGGCUCACACAAGCGGUGGA